Long non-coding RNA from Lonchura striata (white-rumped munia), 2541 nucleotides. RefSeq lists it as uncharacterized. The record is from RefSeq and is a predicted model, not a curated record. NCBI's taxonomy places the organism in Eukaryota, Metazoa, Chordata, Aves, Passeriformes, Estrildidae.
AUGUUAAUCUCAGUGGAUUAGCAGUGUAUCCUUUGAGAAAAAGGAGAGCUUGAGUUCUUGGUCCCCUGAGUACUGGAUGCAAUUGUUUGAGAAAUCUUGAGUUUCAUCAGCUAGAUACAAGGAAAUGUGCAAGUAAGCCUUGAAUGAUCUGUCAGAAGAGUUUGACUUUGUUGCAGCCGUUUUGGAAACUUGUUUGAACUGAUAGUUGUUCCCCAGAUGUUUCUUUGCUUGGUUUUAGUGCAUUUCACAUGAGACAGUGAAAAGGGAUCACCACAGGAUUAUUAGUAAUUCAGAGCUUCUUGGAGAGCCAUAUUCCAGCCAUCAAUUUGCUAAAAUAAUGGCUGGAAUAUGAAUUGCUGCACUUUUAUGAUAUAGUGUAUCUAUUGUUUAAAUACAUCAUUUGUCUUAUCCACUCCAGCAUAUGUAUUUAUACUGGAAAGUUUACAUAGUGAGUAAAAAUAAUAAUACAGUCUCACUGAAUGAGGUUAAUUGCAGUUCAGUCAUGCUGAAAUCAAGAAGCGAGACAUAAUAGCAAGAGAACAGACUGAUUCUGUCCUCAUGGGCACUGGAUAUGCCUACAAUGACUGAAGUCAGGCACUUAUCAGAAGCAAUUCCCAGUACAGAUGUGCACACUGCCUUAGUCUGAAUGACUUUUCAGUUUCAUUAGUGUAUAUCUAAGUUUUGCCAGUUGCUCAUGGAGUCAGCACAGAUGUGUCCCUCUUACCUUUCCCUUUUCCCACAGUUUUGUGUCUGUUGGGAUUCUCUGCAGCUCUAUACAUAGAGAAGAUGAGCGUCUGUGACUAGCAGUGAGUAGCUGGGGCUAACAGAAAAACAGUGAGAUGUCCAGACUGAAAUUUCAUGUCUGCAUUCAGAUGAGACUAUAGAGAAAUCUCUGCUGCAUAAAAUUCUCUGGUGUUUUCAACUAGAAAGUGAUAAGGUUUCCUCUGUUAAGCUUGGCCACUUAAUCUGAAAAUGAGGAAUCAUUUUGGAAACUAGAACUCUGUCUGGUUAAGGAAGGGAUCUUUAAUUACAUGGGGAAGACUCUGCCAUUCUACAAGUGCUGUUCACAGAUCUUGCUGAACUGUCUCAUGAAAUAUUUGUAUUCCUUGCUCAAAGGUUUCUAGUCCCAAAGCUGCACUAUUUUUUGACAAAGCAUCACCCCCAUUACAAAUUCAUGUCAUGCAGACAUUCUAAACUUAGCUUGAAGGGCUUCCUUUCUGCUUCCUCACCAGUUUUUGAAGGUGAGGGUAACUUUUUUGGUUUCUUGCUCAAACAAAAAUGCAUCAAUCUUCUUAUGCAGCAGAUCUCUGCUGGCAAGAAUAGGACUGCAGGUUUUCCUUCUCUUCAUCAUGCAAAAUAGCUGUACUGUUGCAAAUAGGAAGUUGUUCCUAAUUUCUUACUUCCCAAGUAACUAGAAAGUUUGUGGUUAGAAAGUUCAAUACUGGGACCUGUCAAUUUCACUAUCAGUUUCCUUUUGUUUUAUUAUUUUUUUAGAUGUCUAAUGUUUAUACCAAGGAUAGAUUUAUUUGGUACAAGGCCAGGUUAUGACCACCACCAAAUGCAGCUCCAUUAAUUUCAGCGGGAAUGGUGCCCGCGCCCUCUGGCGACUGUCCGGGGCCUUGGAAACUCCGCAGCGCUGUCGCCCACCUCCUAAUGCAGCUUUACUGCUGAGAAACGCUCGAAACCUCCGAAGUAUUUUAAUGCUCCCGCUAAAUCCCCGUGAAAACUAACUUCCGCGACAGUAAAAAAUGAAGAUUACAGCUAUUGCUGUCAGUCCCUUGCAUUUAGGGCAUCGGAGGUUUUAAAAACCUGGAAAAGAUAAUAAGGACUGAAGUUUUGAUUGUGUUCUUUUUGCAUGUACGCUUUGAACAUGGGCUAUGAGCACCUGUGAGUGUGGAUGUGACUACAUGACUGAUGUACUGAAUUUAGGGACGGCAGAGCAGCUAUGAAUUCUACACAAUCCCUUGCUGUCCACUUAAACGGGAGCAAAUGACUGAAUGGACAAGCCUGAUUUUCUGUAUAUAUCUCAAGCAAAGAUGGCAUCACCUCACUAAGUACUCCUGUGCUCAUGGCUUAAAUCCUCAUUGAAUCAGGCAUUUACUGAUCUGCAGCUUCAGCUUGCUCAUCCAUUUGUAGGAGAGGACUACAGACCAGAAGAGCCCAAGGAAAAGACUCCACUUUCAGAAUAAAAGAGCUGUUUUUAGGAUCCAACAUAAUGUUAAAAUAGAAACUCUGCUACGUGAAGGGUUUUUUUUUAAGGAAUGAGAUACUUGCUUCGAGGGAAUACCUACAUCUUCCAGAGAAGAGGAAUUUAUGGUUUUCUUAUCAGAAGCUAAUUUCUUCUGGCCUUGCUCAGACUGGAAGACGCCAUGGGGAUUAAAAGAAACAGUUGACAUACAACAGAGAGAGUUCUUGUUUUAAAUGGAAUGUAUGCAUAUCCAUGAAGGAUGUAUGAAUAUGCAACAGGCUAUUGCUUUUAAGGUUAUUCCUUUGUUCACAAGGUGUGCUUUUCGUGAUUUAGUGUCCAAGAGCAUCCCGAGG